This is a long non-coding RNA of Zalophus californianus (California sea lion), 713 nucleotides long. RefSeq lists it as uncharacterized. The record is from RefSeq and is a predicted model, not a curated record. NCBI's taxonomy places the organism in Eukaryota, Metazoa, Chordata, Mammalia, Carnivora, Otariidae. The transcript has 3 exons.
UGAUGGGAAGACACCAAAGGAUAGGAUGGCCACGUAACUGGAAUGAUGCAUCUACAAGCCAAGGAACACUGUAGGCUACCAGAAGCCAGGAGAGUGACCUGGAAGAUUCUUCCCAAGUGCCUUCAGAGGGAGCAAGUCACUGCCGACACCCUGAUUUGGGGCUUCUGGCCCCCAGAACUAUACCUGCCGGGAAGACUAUCGAAAACAGCUGUUUGGUCCACAAGAAAUGAACCAAGUGAAUCCAAAGUACUGCAGGCAUUCAACUGGCGGAUUCCCAAAGUCAGACCCUGUCCACUAAGCCCAGGAUUUAUAAGGAAUUAAAGAGGAUUCCAUCACAAGGACAUAUAUGGUAUGUGUUUCCUCACGGUGAAAAUCAGAUUGAUUCCUGAGUCCAGGAAAGCUACACAUUCAUGGAAACAGGAAUUCUGGGAGGAAUUUGACAAGAUGAAAGUUGUGUAAGCAAUCUAGGUUAGCUGCUUUGCACUUUCAUAUUAAUUUAAUUGGCUGGAGUUUAGACUAUUGAAUUCUGGAAUGGCAGGCGUCUUUCUCUUUCCCAGCUCUAUAAUUCUCUGGCCUGUAACUUCUCUAUUCCCUUCUUUCAUUUAACAUUUUAACAUUCAUCUGAAUGGAAGUGUUCAAAAGAAGGAAUCACCAAAAGGUUUCAACAUGUGAAGAAAUUUUCUAUUCCUAAAAGUGUCUCAAGUCUUGGAAAA